RNAcentral lists this ribosomal RNA (372 nucleotides) under Nocardia sp. 1720. RNAcentral describes it as "bacterial SSU rRNA". It matches the Rfam family "Bacterial small subunit ribosomal RNA", at positions 1112 to 1481 of the family's 1533-position model. The record is from RNAcentral. Lineage: Bacteria; Bacillati; Actinomycetota; Actinomycetes; Mycobacteriales; Nocardiaceae.
GUGUUGCCAGCACGUAAUGGUGGGGACUCGCAGGAGACUGCCGGGGUCAACUCGGAGGAAGGUGGGGACGACGUCAAUUCAUCAUGCCCCUUAUGUCCAGGGCUUCACACAUGCUACAAUGGCCGGUACAGAGGGCUGCGAUACCGUGAGGUGGAGCGAAUCCCUUAAAGCCGGUCUCAGUUCGGAUCGGGGUCUGCAACUCGACCCCGUGAAGUUGGAGUCGCUAGUAAUCGCAGAUCAGCAACGCUGCGGUGAAUACGUUCCCGGGCCUUGUACACACCGCCCGUCACGUCAUGAAAGUCGGUAACACCCGAAGCCGGUGGCCUAACCCUUGUGGAGGGAGCCGUCAAAGGUGGGAUUGGCGAUUGGGAC